CUCUACCUCCGAAGGUGUCACCUGAACGACCCCCGCAGGCCCCGCAGGAGGAGGAGGAGGGGGCGCAGGGGGAGGCCCCAUGCCAGCAACCUCUACCUCAGCAGGUGUCACCUGAAUGACCUCGCCAGGCCCCACAGAGGGAGGAGGGGGAGGCGGGUCUGGCAGUGCAGGCCCCACCUGAGGAGGCUCUGUCUGAGCAGGUUUCUGCUGGACAGUACCCUUCUGAGCGGCCUUGCUGCUUUUUCUAGAGGAUUUAUGUUUCAGAGUUUUCUUCUUUGUGCUCUUCUUCAUGCAAAUACUUUGCUUCUUACUCUCGACUCUGCUGUCACCCUUUGGUGUUUCCUGGCCACUUCUGGAUUUGCUCUCUGCCUUCUUCUUCUUUUUUGGCGCAGGUUCCUCAUCCGGAACAGGCUCUUGUAUUUUUGCCUGCUCCGUUUCUGUUUUCUCGCUGGUGAUUUUGUCAUCAGGCAAGUCGGCCUCUCGCUUUUUGGUUUUCUUCAGUUUCACCUUUGAGACAUCCAUCGUUUUACUGGGGCAGGUGGGAUGCUUCGACUUGAAAUGAUACUGCAGAUUACACUUCUUGGAAGCUGCGUAGUCGCACACCGGGCAGUUGAACUGCCGUGGAUUGACAUGCAGCUCGACGUGCUUCUUGAAGUUACUUCUGUCUGCUGUCUUGUAGUCACAGUGCGGGCAGCUCAGCGGUUUAGGCCCGUUGUGCACCUGUCUCGCGUGGCGGGUUACUUCGUGUUGAUUAGAGGCCACGUAACUGCACUGGUCGCACUUAAACGGCUUCUCACCUGAGGGUAAACAAGAGAUGUUACCGGAGACAUACACCAGGAAGUGAAUUAAGACUUAUUCAAAUCACCUGACAAGGAAUUGGAUACACAGGAAAGCAAACAAAAACAAAAAACCACAAAAACUAUUUCUCGAAGACUUCAUCAUGCAACUCACAUUUACCAUAUUUAUUUGUAUAUCUUUUCUCUUCCCCUUGACACUGACUCUCAUACCAAAUGGAAGGAUAAUUUUCUCAGUUCAUCAUCAUCUCCUAAAACGGGUACCAAGCUAAGGCUUUCCAGCACUAUUAGAGAACACAGAUUUGUCAAUUACCAGCAAAGUGACCUGGGCUCUCAAGGCUAAUUUAGGGGCUUGGUCACCCAAAGAGAGAAGAUAAUUUCACAUUUUUUAUAUUUAGUUAAAACAAAUGUAUAAGGGAGUAGAAUAUAAAAUUCCCGUACAUUUAAGAUAAGUCUUGAGACUUCAAAAUAACUAUCUCACACUCUAAGCUACCGCUCCCAGAGUUUGAAAACAAUGCUUUGGCCUCUGGGAGUAAAAGGCUUUUCCUCUCAACUUAACCCUUUGAGCAUCAGAGCAGGAACUGGGUCAAGUUUCAAUCAGCAAACAUUCCCAGUGCCCAGGGGUGCUACUUCGCAGCAAACAUAGAGCCCGAGUCUUGAUUCUCUCCCUCCUUCUUCUAGAGAAUGGGCAAAGAUACCAGCUGAGUGAAAAGAGGCAACAAAUAGAUAUGGUCCAUAAAACAAGCAAACACAGUCACAGCCACAGGCACACACGAGACCAGAAGCACCCCGCACCCCCCGCCCCAUUUAAAGGCAGAGAUGAACUCAUUCUACCUGAAUACAUACCCACCUAGAUCACACUCUAGUAAAUAUUACCAAACGGUAUCCAUACCCCACUGGUCCAAGGGAAAGCGUAGCAGAAAAACGGAAAGUGACAUGUAUGAAAUUUCACUUCUCAAACAUUCUCAAAUUCACAUCAAAUCUUAUUUAAUUGUUUUCAUUUUUCAACAAAACUACGGAGGCAUUUAGUAAAACCACGUAGAUGGUGAGUUUUUUUACAUGAGGAAAAGAUGGCUGAUGACAGAAUACUCGAUCACAAGAACAAAACCAUAUCCAGGUCCUUCAGACAGUAGACGCAGCUCCUCCCCACACUGACCGAGAACACAUCAUAACCAGAAGCUUCUAACAUGUACAUUACACUAGCUGCACACGGUCCCAUCAUCGUGUCCUCCCCAUUGAGGGAGGUCAACAGAGACAACGUUUCCUGAACAUAUACAGACACAGCAGGCAGGGAAGAUAUGCAGCAUAAUGGUUAAGAACUUGUUCUACAGUGUGGCUAUCUGUGGGUCAAGCAGGGGUUCUGCAGCUUUACUGUGCGGUCGUCAGCAAGGCACUGGAGACUCAAAGGCUC
RNAcentral lists this long non-coding RNA (2205 nucleotides) under Sus scrofa (pig). RNAcentral's name for it is "lncRNA (ENSSSCG00060037865.1)". The record is from RNAcentral. Lineage: Eukaryota; Metazoa; Chordata; Mammalia; Artiodactyla; Suidae.